UAUACUACGAAAUACACAAAACUAGGUUUAUGGAAUCAUUCAUAACGACGCACUAAGUCUCUUGUAGUUGAAAGUCCUGGUACAACGAAAUACACAAAACUAGGUUGAUGGAAUCGUUCAUGAAUAUGCACUAACUGAGUUUUAGUUCCAAAGUCUGUAUCCUUCGAAAUACACAAAACUAGGUUUAUAGAAUCAUUCAUAAUGACGCACUAAGUCUCUUGUAGUUCAAAGUCUUGGUACAACGAAAUACACAAAACUAGGUUGAUGGAAUCGUUCAUGACGAUGCACUAACUGAGUUUUAGUUCCAAAGUCCUUAUACUACGAAAUACACAAAACUAGGUUUAUGGAAUCAUUCAUAACGACGCACUAAGUCUCUUGUAGUUCAAAGUCCUGGUACAACGAAAUACACAAAACUAGGUUUCGGGAAUCGUUCAUAAAAUGACACUGUUGUAGUUCCAAAGUCGGUAUACAACGAAAUACACAUGACUAGGUUUAUGGAAGAGUUCAAACAACCCAACAACUAUGUUGUAGUUCCAAAGUCUGGAUACAACAAAAUAGAGGAAACUAGGUUUAGGGAAUCAUACAUAAAUAAGCACUAAUUGUGUUUCAGUUCCAAAGUCCGGAUACAACGAAAUAUAGGAAACUAGGUUUAGGGAAACAUACAUAAAUAAGCACUAAUUGUGUUUCAGUUCCAAAGUCCGGAUACAACGAAAUACACAAAAGUAAGAUUAUGUAAUCGUUCAUAACUACGCACUAACUCUGUUGUAGUUCAAAGUACAGAUACAACGAAAUACACAAAACUAGGUUGAUGGAAUCGUUCAUGAAUAUGCACUAACUGAGUUUUAGUUCCAAAGUCUGUAUCCUUCGAAAUACACAAAACUAGGUUUAUAGAAUCAUUCAUAAUGACGCACUAAGUCUCUUGUAGUUCAAAGUCUUGGUACAACGAAAUACACAAAACUAGGUUGAUGGAAUCGUUCAUGACGAUGCACUAACUGAGUUUUAGUUCCAAAGUCCUUAUACUACGAAAUACACAAAACUAGGUUUAUGGAAUCAUUCAUAACGACGCACUAAGUCUCUUGUAGUUCAAAGUCCUGGUACAACGAAAUACACAAAACUAGGUUUCGGGAAUCGUUCAUAAAAUGACACUGUUGUAGUUCCAAAGUCGGUAUACAACGAAAUACACAUGACUAGGUUUAUGGAAAAGUUCAAAGAAGCCAAUAACUCUGUUGUAGUUCCAAAGUCC
RNAcentral lists this long non-coding RNA (1243 nucleotides) under Cricetulus griseus (Chinese hamster). RNAcentral describes it as "lncRNA (ENSCGRG00015031645.1)". The record is from RNAcentral. Lineage: Eukaryota; Metazoa; Chordata; Mammalia; Rodentia; Cricetidae.